GCGCUCGUAGCUCAGCUGGAUAGAGCACCAGACUACGAAUCUGGGGGUCGGGAGUUCGAAUCUCUCCGAGCGCG
Molecule: transfer RNA, 74 nt
Rfam family: tRNA
About the family: Transfer RNA (tRNA) molecules are approximately 80 nucleotides in length. Their secondary structure includes four short double-helical elements and three loops (D, anti-codon, and T loops).